This 253-nucleotide ribosomal RNA is filed under the name uncultured bacterium. RNAcentral describes it as "partial 16S ribosomal RNA". It matches the Rfam family "Bacterial small subunit ribosomal RNA", at positions 524 to 776 of the family's 1533-position model. The record is from RNAcentral.
UACGAAGGGGGCUAGCGUUGUUCGGAAUUACUGGGCGUAAAGCGCACGCAGGCGGAUUGAUUAGUCGGGGGUGAAAUCCCGGGGCUCAACCUCGGAAUUGCCUUCGAUACUGUCAGUCUUGAGUCCGGGAGAGGUGAGUGGAAUUCCUAGUGUAGAGGUGAAAUUCGUAGAUAUUGGGAAGAACACCGAUGGCGAAGGCAGCCAUCUGGACCGACACUGACGCUGAGGCGCGAAAGCGUGGGGAGCAAACAGG